GACGAACGCUGGCGGCGUGCUUAACACAUGCAAGUCGAACGGAAAGGCCCUGCUUUUGUGGGGUGCUCGAGUGGCGAACGGGUGAGUAACACGUGAGUAACCUGCCCUUGACUUUGGGAUAACUUCAGGAAACUGGGGCUAAUACCGGAUAGGAGCUCCUGCUGCAUGGUGGGGGUUGGAAAGUUUCGGCGGUUGGGGAUGGACUCGCGGCUUAUCAGCUUGUUGGUGGGGUAGUGGCUUACCAAGGCUUUGACGGGUAGCCGGCCUGAGAGGGUGACCGGCCACAUUGGGACUGAGAGACGGCCCAGACUCCUACGGGAGGCAGAAGGAAGGAAUAUUGCACAAUGGGCGGAAGCCUGAUGCAGCAACGCCGCGUGCGGGAUGACGGCCUUAGGGUUGUAAACCGCUUUCGCCUGUGACGAAGCGGGAGUGACGGUAAUGGGUAAAGAAGCACCGGCUAACUACGUG
This 468-nucleotide ribosomal RNA is filed under the name uncultured bacterium. RNAcentral describes it as "partial 16S ribosomal RNA". It matches the Rfam family "Bacterial small subunit ribosomal RNA", at positions 28 to 507 of the family's 1533-position model. The record is from RNAcentral.